Molecule: ribosomal RNA, 464 nt
Filed under: uncultured bacterium
Lineage: Bacteria
Description: partial 16S ribosomal RNA
Rfam family: Bacterial small subunit ribosomal RNA
Source: RNAcentral
CCUACGGGAGACAGCAGUAGGGAAUUUUCGUCAAUGGGCGCAAGCCUGAACGAGCAAUGCCGCGUGAACGAGGAAGGUCUUCGGAUCGUAAAGUUCUGUUGAAGGGGAAAAAGAGCGGAGAGAGGAAAUGGUCUCCGAUUGAUAUUACCCUUCGAGGAAGUCACGGCUAACUACGUGCCAGCAGCCGCGGUAAUACGUAGGUGGCGAGCGUUAGCCGGAAUGAUUGGGCGAAAGGGGUGCGUAGGCGGCCUGCUAAGUCUGGAGUGAAAGGUACCGGCUCAACCGGUAGAGGCCCUGGAAACUGGCGGGCUAGAGAGUAGGAGAGGGCGGUGGAACUCCAUGUGUAGUGGUAAAAUGCGUAGAUAUAUGGAAGAACACCAGUGGCGAAGGCGGCCGCCUGGCCUGUUACUGACGCUGAGGCACGAAAGCGUGGGGAGCAAAUAGGAUUAGAUACCCCGGUAGUC